RNAcentral lists this small RNA (81 nucleotides) under Flavobacterium swingsii. Its description in RNAcentral is "Flavo-1 RNA". The record is from RNAcentral. Lineage: Bacteria; Pseudomonadati; Bacteroidota; Flavobacteriia; Flavobacteriales; Flavobacteriaceae.
UUUUACCCCCGAUAGAAGUGAAAAACCUUUUGCUUUUUUCUUUAAAAAAGCGAAAGAUUGAAGCGGAUUGCUUCGCCAGUU